Molecule: long non-coding RNA, 1976 nt
Filed under: Anas platyrhynchos (mallard)
Lineage: Eukaryota; Metazoa; Chordata; Aves; Anseriformes; Anatidae
Description: lncRNA (ENSAPLG00020004751.1)
Source: RNAcentral
UGAUUCUGAAAGAGAAAUAUCAAUGGGAGAAUAAAAAGGGGCCUGAGCAUCAGCUGAUGUUCUUUGGGCACCCAAGUUUUCUUCAGCCAUGAAGAGCCACAACAGCUACUGGCCACGACACCUGCAAAGCAGAAGACAGAGAGGGGUCCAGCCCUUGUCACCUGCACUAGGAAAGGAGAAGACCACCAGUGUAGACCUGCUGUGGAGGUGGUGCAGCAAGCCAUAUGGGUUAUUUCCAGCAAAGAUGAGGAGCAUCACAAAGGCCUGCUUCAACAGGAUACCUGCACAAAACCCAGAGACUUGUAUAUUCAAGUCUCUGAUUCUCCUGUAUGGAUUAAACACCCUGGCCAGACUACAGGUAUGUCUCAGAGUCAUCCCUCAUAAUGAGACACUGUGAUGCUUAUUGGAAAUCUGUGACAUUGAAUUAGAAAAGAUACAGUCCAGCUAAAGAAUCAAAACACAAAGAAAAAUGAGAGCACAAGACAAUCAAAAUAUAACUCCUAAGAAAAUAUUUGUGCAAAAAUUUGCAAAAGGAAUUUUUUUUGAUAUUUUAAAAUGUCUUCUUCUUUAAAAAGUAAAGAAAUAACUUAAUCAGGGGAAAAAUAAAUGGGGAAAAAAAAAAAAAAAAAAAAGCUAUCACUGUGGAAUUUCCAUCAUGGCAAGGCAAGCCAUGGGGGCAGCCUGUGUCUUCUGAGGGGUUCUUCCUUGUAGAGCUUAUUUUAGUUUAUCUUCCCCCAAGCAUAGACAAAUAGGAAAGGAGUGGAUAAUGAUCAGGAUCCAGAAAAUGCAGCCCAAUACACUUCGCUAUAAAUAAAUAAAUAAAUAAGCAGGAAUACCUGCUGUUCAAAUACAUCUUGAUGGAAUAAAUGUAGAAGUGUUUAUAUCCUGUAGUUUGACACUAUGGUACAAUAACCUUUGUUUUUAUUCUUAGCAGCUGGACUGAUCCUUGGGAGGGGAGAGGGGGUGAAGGGGGGAAAAAGAUUUAAAAAAUGAGAAAUAAAGCACUUGAAGGCCUAAAAUAUCAUUGUUUUAAGUAUUACAGACAGUGAUCCUUCAUUGAUUGUUUUAAAGAAGUUGUGGCAUUUCAUUCAGUACAUGAUCAAGAUAACUGAAAUGUUGACGUCUAAUAUUGCUCUAAGAGUUUUGUAGAACACAUUGAGCUAGUUAUUUGAGAAAUCAAGCUCUACCAAAAUAUUUAUAAAUCCAGUAACAACUAUAUGAGCAACACAGAAAUGUAAGCAGCAGAAGUUACAUUUUUUCACUUUCAGAAACCAGAUAGGCUGGUGUAAACUGAAAUGGCUCCAUGGCAGUCUGUGGAUAGUACUGUGACUUAUGUCAGUUCUGGAUCUGGAUGACUAUUUGCACAUAAUCCGAAUACCUGUUUCCAUGAAAAUAUAUACCUUUUGAGGCUUUCAAUGAAUUUUGCUGCAAAUUCAGUGGAACUAGAACACAGGUCAUUCCUUGAAGCAUUUCUAUUUAACCACUGGAUUAAGUCAACCGGAACAACAUAUCUGAGAGCUUAUUUGAAAUAAAGUCUUGGAAAGGGAAUGGUUUAAUGCAACAAAUAUCCCAUCAGUAGUAUGGACUAAAUUUUGGACCUUGGUACCCCAAAUAAGGAAACUGUGACUUAAGUUUGGUAAUUGAUCUAACUGGGACCAUGUUGAGGGGUAGAAUUAGUAAACAUUAAUUAAAGGGGGGGGCGGAAUGGUGAAUAAAAAAAAAAAAAUAAAUUAUAACAGAGUCUUUAUACAGAUUCAUCCCAUUCCUGUCUGACUCUGGCGCUAUCUUCACCCAGCCUCUUUCUCUUCCUUCUUGCUGGAGAUUUUUCUAGCCAUCUGGACUAGGAUAUACCAGCUUUUUCCACCCUAAAGAACAGCAGUACCACUUUCUGGCCUAUGUGGGAAAUAGAAAUGAGAGGAUAUUCAAUCAUAUCAGCACACAUUAACCUGAAGUGUAACUAUUAUUAUACAUUGCUG